Molecule: ribosomal RNA, 465 nt
Filed under: uncultured bacterium
Lineage: Bacteria
Description: partial 16S ribosomal RNA
Rfam family: Bacterial small subunit ribosomal RNA
Source: RNAcentral
CCUACGGGUGGCUGCAGUAGGGAAUUUUCGUCAAUGGGCGCAAGCCUGAACGAGCGAUGCCGCGUGAGUGAAGAAGGCCUUCGGGUCGUAAAGCUCUGUUUCGGGGGAAAAAAGGCAGCAUCAGGAAAUGGGUGCUGACUGAUGGUGCGCCGCCAGAAAGUCACGGCUAACUACGUGCCAGCAGCCGCGGUAAUACGUAGGUGGCGAGCGUUAUCCGGAAUGGUUGGGCGGAAAGGGUGCGCAGGCGGUCCUGCAAGGGUGGAGUGAAACGGAUGAGCUCAACUCAUGCAUGGCUGUGGAAACUGGAGGACUGGAGAGCAGGAGAGGGCGGUGGAACGCCAGGUGUAGCGGUAAAAUGCGUAGAUAUAUGGCAGAACACCAGUGGCGAAGGCGGCCGCCUGGCCUGUUGCUGACGCUGAGGCACGAAAGCGUGGGGAGCAAAUAGGAUUAGAUACCCCUGUAGUC